This 869-nucleotide ribosomal RNA is filed under the name uncultured archaeon. RNAcentral's name for it is "bacterial SSU rRNA". It matches the Rfam family "Archaeal small subunit ribosomal RNA", at positions 1 to 878 of the family's 1478-position model. The record is from RNAcentral.
CUCCCGUUGAUCCCGCCGGACCUGACUGCUAUCGGAUUGGUACUAAGCCAUGCGAGUCGUUGUAGCAAUACAAGGCGGACGGCUCAGUAACACGUAGUCAACCUAACCUAUGGACGUGGAUAACCUCGGGAAACUGAGAAUAAACCGCGAUAGAUCAUUAUGCCUGGAAUGGCUUAUGGUUCAAACAAUUUAUUGCCGUAGGAUGGGACUGCGGCCUAUCAGCUUGUUGGUGAGGUAAUGGCCCACCAAGGCUAUAACAGGUACGGGCUCUGAGAGGAGAAGCCCGGAGAUGGGUACUGAGACACGGACCCAGGCCCUAUGGGGCGCAGCAGGCGAGAAACCUUAGCAAUGUGCGAAAGCACGACUAGGUUAAUCCGAGUGAUUUCUGUUGAAGAAAUCUUUUGUCAGUCGUAAAACCACAGACGAAUAAGGGGUGGGCAAGUCUGGUGUCAGCCGCCGCGGUAAUACCAGCACCUCGAGUGGUCAGGAGGUUUAUUGGGCCUAAAGCAUCCGUAGCCGGCUACGCAAGUCUCCGGUUAAAUCCAGCUGCUCAACAGAUGGGCUGCCGGAGAUACUACAUAGCUAGGGAGCGGGAGAGGUAGACGGUAUUCUGUGGGUAGGGGUAAAAUCCACUGAUCCAUAGAGGACCACCAGUGGCGAAGGCGGUCUACCAGAACGCGUUCGACGGUGAGGGAUGAAAGCUGGGGGAGCAAACCGGAUUAGAUACCCGGGUAGUCCCAGCUGUAAACGAUGCAAACUCGGUGAUGCAUUGGCUUAUGGCCAAUGCAGUGCCGCAGGGAAGCCGUUAAGUUUGCCGCCUGGGAAGUACGGACGCAAGUCUGAAACUUAAAGGAAUUGGCGGGGGAGCA